CAUACGUCCUCCGGGGGCAUCCCCGGGGGAUGAAAGAAUUAUCGGUGAAGGAUGGGCAUGCGUGAUAUUAGGUAGUUGGCGGGGCAACGGCCCACCAAGCCUACGAUAUCUAGGGGUUCUGAGAGGAAGGUCCCCCACAUUGGUACUGAGACACGGACCAAACUCCUACGGGAGGCAGCAGUGAGGAAUAUUGGUCAAUGGACGAGAGUCUGAACCAGCCAAGUCGCGUGAAGGAAGACGGAUCUAUGGUUUGUAAACUUCUUUAGUGCGGGAACAAAGCGGUGUCGUGACACCGGAUGAGUGUACCGCAAGAAUAAGCAUCGGCUAACUCCGUGCCAGCAGCCGCGGUAAUACGGAGGAUGCGAGCGUUAUCCGGAUUUAUUGGGUUUAAAGGGAGCGCAGGCUGCGAGGCAAGUCAGCGGUCAAAUGUCGGGGCUCAACCCCAGCCUGCCGUUGAAACUGUCCUGCUAGAGUUCGAGUGAGGUAUGCGGAAUGCGUUGUGUAGCGGUGAAAUGCAUAGAUAUGACGCAGAACUCCGAUUGCGAAGGCAGCAUACCAACUCGCGACUGACGCUGAGGCUCGAAAGCGUGGGUAUCGAACAGGAUUAGAUACCCUGGUAGUCCA
This 624-nucleotide ribosomal RNA is filed under the name uncultured bacterium. RNAcentral describes it as "bacterial SSU rRNA". It matches the Rfam family "Bacterial small subunit ribosomal RNA", at positions 172 to 797 of the family's 1533-position model. The record is from RNAcentral.